GAUGAACGCUGGCGGCGUGCCUAAUACAUGCAAGUCGAGCGAACAGAUGAGGAGCUUGCUCCUCUGACGUUAGCGGCGGGCGGGUGAGUAACACGUGGAUAACCUACCUAUAAGACUGGGAUAACUUCGGGAAUCCGGCGCUAAUACCGGAUAAUAUAUUGAACCGCAUGGUUCAAUGGUGAAAGACGGUUUUGCUGUCACUUAUAGAUGGAUCCGCGCCGCAUUAGCGAGUUGGUACGGUAACGGCUUUCCAAGGCAACGAUGCCUAGGCGACCUGAGAGGGUGAUCGGCCACACUGGAGCUGAGCCACGGUCCAUGCUCCUACGAGAGGCAGCAGUAGGGAAUCUGCCGCAAUGGGCGAAAGCCUUGCGGAGCAGCGCCGCGUGAGAUAUGAAGGUCUUCGGUGCGUAAUACUCUCUUAUUAGUGAAGAACAAAUGUGUAAGUAACUAUGCCCGUCUUGACGGUACCUAAUCAGAAAGCCACGGCUAACUACGUG
This 497-nucleotide ribosomal RNA is filed under the name uncultured bacterium. Its description in RNAcentral is "partial 16S ribosomal RNA". It matches the Rfam family "Bacterial small subunit ribosomal RNA", at positions 28 to 507 of the family's 1533-position model. The record is from RNAcentral.